This 925-nucleotide ribosomal RNA is filed under the name uncultured bacterium. RNAcentral's name for it is "bacterial SSU rRNA". It matches the Rfam family "Bacterial small subunit ribosomal RNA", at positions 8 to 916 of the family's 1533-position model. The record is from RNAcentral.
AGAGUUUGAUCCUGGCUCAGGACGAACGCUGGCGGCGUGCCUAAUACAUGCAAGUAGAACGCUGAAAUAAGAGCUUGCUCUUAUGGAUGAGUUGCGAACGGGUGAGUAACACGUGGGGAACCUACCUUCUAGCGGGGGAUAACACAUAGAAAUGUGUGCUAAUACCGCAUAAUAGUAUUUGAUGCAUAUCAGAUACUUGAAAGGCGCAAUUGCGUCACUAGAAGAUGGCCCCGCGGUGCAUUAGCUAGUUGGUGAGGUAACGGCUCACCAAGGCAAUGAUGCAUAGCCGACCUGAGAGGGUGAUCGGCCACACUGGGACUGAGACACGGCCCAGACUCCUACGGGAGGCAGCAGUAGGGAAUCUUCGGCAAUGGACGCAAGUCUGACCGAGCAACGCCGCGUGAGUGAAGAAGGUUUUCGGAUCGUAAAACUCUGUUGUAAGAGAAGAACGUUGAUGAGAGUGGAAAGUUCAUCAAGUGACGGUAUCUUACCAGAAAGCCACGGCUAACUACGUGCCAGCAGCCGCGGUAAUACGUAGGUGGCAAGCGUUGUCCGGAUUUAUUGGGCGUAAAGCGAGCGCAGGCGGUUGAUUAAGUCUGAUGUGAAAGCCCCCGGCUCAACCGGGGAGGGUCAUUGGAAACUGGUCAACUUGAGUGCAGAAGAGGAGAGUGGAAUUCCAUGUGUAGCGGUGAAAUGCGUAGAUAUAUGGAGGAACACCAGUGGCGAAGGCGGCUCUCUGGUCUGUAACUGACGCUGAGGCUCGAAAGCGUGGGGAGCGAACAGGAUUAGAUACCCUGGUAGUCCACGCCGUAAACGAUGAGUGCUAAGUGUUGGAGGGUUUCCGCCCUUCAGUGCUGCAGCUAACGGCAUUAAGCACUCCGCCUGGGGAGGUACGACUGCAAGUUGAAACUCAAGGAAUUGACGG